GAAAUGCGAUAAGUAAUGUGAAUUGCAGAAUUCAGUGGAUCAUCGAAUCUUUGAACGCAGCUUGCGCUCCUUGGUAUUCCUUGGAGCAUGCCUGUUUGAGUAUCAUGAAAUCUUCAAAGUAAAUCUUUUGUUAACUCAAUUGGUUUCUACUUUGGUAUUGGAGGUCUUUGCAGCUUCACACCUGCUCCUCUUUGUUCAUUAGCUGGAUCUCAGUGUUAUGCUUGGUUCCACUCGGCGUGAUAAGUUAUCUAUCGCUGAGGACACUGUAAAAGGUGGCCAAGGUAAAUGCAGAUGAACCGCUUCUAAUAGUCCAUUGACUUGGACAAUACUUUUAUGAUCUGAUCUCAAAUCAGGUAGGACUACCCGCUGAACUUAAGC
This 378-nucleotide unclassified non-coding RNA is filed under the name plant metagenome. RNAcentral's name for it is "partial contains 5.8S ribosomal RNA, internal transcribed spacer 2, and large subunit ribosomal RNA". The stretch from base 1 to 105 matches the Rfam family "5.8S ribosomal RNA", at positions 50 to 154 of the family's 154-position model. The record is from RNAcentral.